Molecule: long non-coding RNA, 822 nt
Organism: Cebus imitator (Panamanian white-faced capuchin)
Lineage: Eukaryota; Metazoa; Chordata; Mammalia; Primates; Cebidae
Exons: 4
Source: RefSeq, a predicted model, not a curated record
CUCUUGCUCCUGCGCUUGCCCUGUGUGAUACUUGCUCUCUCUUCACCUUCUGCCAUGAGUGGAAGCUUCCUGAGGCCAUCACCAGAAGCAGGCACUAUGCACCAUGAUUCCUGUACUGUCUGCAGAACUUUCUUUUUCCUGGGCAUACAUUUCUAUAUUUGAGAUACUACAGACCAUUUUGCGGCAGCAUUUGUCAUUUAACACUAUUGCAUAGGAUGAAGUCCUUAAAAAGGAAUUACUGAGUCAGAAAACAUGAGUGUUUUCAAGGUUCUUGAUACACAUUGCCCAAACUGUCUUCCAGAAGGUGACCACCAAAGUCAUCCUGAAAGAGAGAUGGCGGAGCUUGGUCCACUCUACGUGCCAAUCUGGCUGCCGGCAAGGAGGAUGAUCAACUCUGAAGGCCUGCAGCCACACCUUUAAUAAGAGACCCCUGUCUUGAACUCUUCAUUUAAUCAACGAACAAAUAGUGAGUACCGAGUAUGUGUGCACAUCAGCUCUUUUCCUCUUCAUAUCAGCCCUGAGAGACAUGCAGGAAGGGUGUUUAUGCCUUCUUUACAGAUGAGGCGACUGAGGCGCAGUGUUGGGGGCCAUCACCGGCACUGAGAGUGACUAUGCAGAGACUGGAACCCAAUUCCCUUCACCAUUAGACCAGUGCUUUCCUGCUGUAUUGCAGAUGGAGCAAUUUUCUCAUGACAGAAAAACCCUCACUUCUCAAUUUCACCAAACCAUUUAUGGUUAAGGGAGAAGGACAGGAGUUGGCCUCAUCUCUACACAUCCAUUAAAAAUGUUUCAAUUUAAGAACUCUGGGCUGGGCAUGGUGGC